Electrophorus electricus (electric eel) is the source of this 488-nucleotide non-coding RNA. Lineage: Eukaryota; Metazoa; Chordata; Actinopteri; Gymnotiformes; Gymnotidae. The record is from RefSeq and is a predicted model, not a curated record.
UGUUGCUGAACUGGGCGGCUGAACCUGAGCUUACGCGACAGUCGGCGACCCGCCUACAAACGUCGCGCUUCCUUCCUUCUCUGCAUGCCGGUUCACGUGCGUCAGUUUACAGGACAGCUGGUUGGGUUUUUAGUUUUUUUUAACAUUUAUCCGCAAGCAUACAUGUUUGCCUGAGUUGAAACGGAUUGGCCUGCUACUUGUGUGUCUUGGGGAAUUGUAGGUUGGAAGAACCAUAAAGGGAAAGACAAGGGUUCGGAGGAGAAAAAAAUUGACAUUUCAAGUUCAACAUCUCUAGCGUCAUGCUGUCUUGGAGCAGGUGUCACUGUGUUCUGCUGUUACAGCUGCUGACAGUCAUAGCUGGCUCUUUUCCUUCAGUAAAGGUGAAUCUUCAUGAUGCUGCUACUCUCCACUGCACUCAGACGUGUUCUGGUCUGGUCACAUGGACUUUAUAUCAUAAACCACAUGACAUUCUGGCUCAGUGUAACCAG